CCUACGGGGGGCAGCAGUAGGGAAUCUUCCACAAUGGGCGAAAGCCUGAUGGAGCAACGCCGCGUGGGUGAAGAAGGUCUUCGGAUCGUAAAACCCUGUUGUUAGAGAAGAAAGUGCGUGAGAGUAACUGUUCACGUUUCGACGGUAUCUAACCAGAAAGCCACGGCUAACUACGUCCCAGCAGCCGCGGUAAUACGUAGGUGGCAAGCGUUAUCCGGAUUUGUUUGGCGUAAAAGUACCGCAGGCGGUCUUUUAAGUCUGAUGUGAAAGCCUUCGGCUGAACCGGAGUAGUGCAUUGGACACUGGGAGACUUGAGUGCAGAAGAGGAGAGUGGAACUCCAUGUG
Molecule: ribosomal RNA, 345 nt
Filed under: uncultured bacterium
Lineage: Bacteria
Description: partial 16S ribosomal RNA
Rfam family: Bacterial small subunit ribosomal RNA
Source: RNAcentral